GCGUCGGUGGUUCAGUGGUAGAAUACUCGCCUGCCACGCGGGUGGCCCGGGGUUCGAUUCCCGGCCGACGCA
This 72-nucleotide transfer RNA is filed under the name Rhipicephalus sanguineus (brown dog tick). RNAcentral's name for it is "transfer RNA glycine (anticodon GCC)". It matches the Rfam family "tRNA". Rfam says of the family: Transfer RNA (tRNA) molecules are approximately 80 nucleotides in length. Their secondary structure includes four short double-helical elements and three loops (D, anti-codon, and T loops). The record is from Rfam by way of RNAcentral. Lineage: Eukaryota; Metazoa; Arthropoda; Arachnida; Ixodida; Ixodidae.